This 812-nucleotide long non-coding RNA is filed under the name Elaeis guineensis (African oil palm). RNAcentral's name for it is "long non-coding RNA (EGUI_LNC003262)". Lineage: Eukaryota; Viridiplantae; Streptophyta; Magnoliopsida; Arecales; Arecaceae. The record is from RNAcentral.
GUGGCACUUGGGUCAUCAUCCCUAUUCCAUCCCGAUCACUCAGACUCAGGAUUUGCUUGGCAUUCAGGACUAUUUAUGAUGAUAGCAUCUGUUUCAGUACCAUUCUACUAGAAGAGAAAGAAGAAGAAGCAAGCAUGAGCUAAUGUUUGAAUUGUACAUUUUGGAUUAUUAGGUAUUGGAUAUUAAAGAUAGUCAUUGACUAGUAUAUAGUGUUUUGUAAGUCAUUUUGAAUUGGAGGUGGUCUCGUAGGUCAUCUUCACUUGAUGGGGAAAGUAGAUGCCCUUCAUAAAGAUGGCAUUGACUAACAUAUAGUGUUCACAUGUAAAGAAACGACCAAGCCUGCCUUUCUUUAGUUUGUCAUGCUAGUUAUCUUACAAAAUAAUAAUAUAUAUAUACUACAUAACAAUACAACUAGCUAGCUCAACGGAUGCAUAUAUUUGAGUACCUGCCAUCUCACAAAUAUACGAAGUAGGAGGUGUACUCUUCUCCCUUCUUCCACGUCCUACCCAACUUUCGCUUCUUGGUUCAUCGAUGGGAUGUUUGAUAACAUUAAACUAUGGUGCAAACGUGCGCCUCAUGGCUCUAUCCAAGACUUUAAUAGGAAAGAAGGCUCUGCCUGUCAUCCCUUGUAAAUCUCCCCAUCUGAAAUGAUUUUCUCCAUUUUAAAUAAUCCUUCAUGAUCUGAGUCAUGCAUUAAAAUACAAUUGUGCUACACAAAGUACACUUGUUAGGUAAGUUUCCUUUUGAUUAAUGCUUACCCACUAUAUAUAACAAGUAUAUACUUAGUUAAUUAUUUAGACAUAUAACUUUGG